Non-coding RNA from Clonostachys solani, 73 nucleotides. NCBI's taxonomy places the organism in Eukaryota, Fungi, Ascomycota, Sordariomycetes, Hypocreales, Bionectriaceae. The record is from the annotation of a GenBank genome assembly.
GCCCCUGUGGCGCAGUGGUCAGCGCGCUCCGCGCCGAAUGGAGAGGUCACUGGUUCGAUCCCAGACAGGUGUG